Molecule: RNA transcript, 838 nt
Organism: Lolium rigidum
Lineage: Eukaryota; Viridiplantae; Streptophyta; Magnoliopsida; Poales; Poaceae
Exons: 4
Source: RefSeq, a predicted model, not a curated record
UAAGAGCAGGGUUCGCUGGAUGUCUGCGAGUAGAUUAUCCCCAGAUAAGUAUAGGAUGCAUCUGAUUAUUUUAACUAUGCUGAAUACACCGAAUUAUUAAAUUGAGUAUUUUUCUUGAGUUUCUACAGCUGGGGCAUUUGUCUCUCUUAUGGGGUAAUAGACCGGAUCAACGACAUAGAUAAGGUUCUAUAGGAGAUUAGGCCCUAAUCUAUUGGUCUAGGUUUUUCAUUUCUCUCUGCUCUCUUGGUUCAGUCCCUGAUCAAGGCCAGGGCGCCGUGGAGCUCAUGCUCAAGAGAGAGUGCUAUACCUAUGUUGCAUAUAGAAAACUCAUUCCUUCACUGGAGGAAUGAGCGCUUGAGGAGCUCCUCUUCACCAGCAGCAAGGUCAUAUUUAGUCCAUAUGAAGCAAGUACUUUUUGUAUCACACAGAGGAACUGUGGUAUUCUCCAACUUCUGAAGCAGAGAUUGUUAGUAUUUUGCUACAUUUUUCUUGUGAGCAAAUAAGGUUUCUCCCCUCUUUGGGUUACUCUGCAUGAUCUUUACUUAAACUGAAACCGUGAGUGUGUUCUAUGUAAUUUUCACUAACAAAAUAUAUUAGCUGUCACAUAGAAAAGAUAAUGCAUUUCAAUUUUGAGUUUGGUUGCCACGACUUGACCAAGUGCACAUGCACUUCCAUUUUAACACAUGAGACAUUUUCUUCUAUUAUAAUUAAUACGCAUUGUUCUGAUCCUGCAGCUAGCAUACCAUACUUUCUUUAGUAUUUUAAGAUCAUGUUUAGAACAUAUCAAGUGACUGAUUCUUUUUUGGGUUGCUCGCUCAUUGCCAAGAUAGGUGUGCUU